This is a long non-coding RNA of Gigantopelta aegis, 541 nucleotides long. RefSeq lists it as uncharacterized. The record is from RefSeq and is a predicted model, not a curated record. NCBI's taxonomy places the organism in Eukaryota, Metazoa, Mollusca, Gastropoda, Neomphalida, Peltospiridae. The transcript is spliced from 2 exons.
UAUAAGAUGGCGGUAGUUUGACGUUUGAUUGCAUCUUGGAGUUGUUUAAUUUGUACUCACUGGGAAGUUUAAACUGCCAGCUGAGUGUGACAUUUUAUAUAUUGUUAAUCGAAAGAAAAACAAAAUUAGUUUGAAUAAGGGCUAUUGAGAAAUUAAUCAAAUGGAGAAUUGUCAUCUAUAGGUGUCUGGAAAUGCCAAAUUGGUGGUGGAGGAGGGGAAAAGGUUGAUAUCAACCAAUGGGCGUGUCACCUGCAGUGGGCGGGCCGAUGAUGGCUCCUCCUCCCUGUUGUAGCAGCAAGAGUCCCAUGAAUCUAGGAAACCUCUUCAUUCCGACCAGUCGAACCAGCACCACAUACUGCAGACACCCAUACCCGCCUGAAACAAAAUAACUUUUGUUAUUUAAAUUACACAAUAUUAAGUGUAUCGUUAAUAGUAACACAUCUUGAAUAGACCGUUAAGUCCCGUUGGUAGAACGCUCGGCUGACUUGCUUUGGUCGCAGGUUCGAAUCUCCUCGGUGGACGAAUUCUCAGAUUUUUUUUU